Herpailurus yagouaroundi (jaguarundi) is the source of this 832-nucleotide long non-coding RNA. RefSeq lists it as uncharacterized. Lineage: Eukaryota; Metazoa; Chordata; Mammalia; Carnivora; Felidae. The record is from RefSeq and is a predicted model, not a curated record. The transcript is spliced from 3 exons.
GUUUACAGUAGCAUGGAAAAGUAGCUUGGAAUUUUAACUGGAUGCUUAUUGUCCUUGAUAAUACUCCAUUCUGCCACUGUCUUCCAUCUUCUUACUAGCUAAAUAAUUGACAGUGAAUUUGGGUGGACUUGGCAAAGAAUGAAAAUCAAGUCAGUGAAGAUUCUGUGUUGUGGAGGCAAAAGAAAAAGAAGAGAAACAUUCAAGUACAGUGGAGAUGCUUAUCUUCAGUGGUGAACCAUUCAGAGCCUCUAUCUGAAGACUCCUUUGGUGGAUAUACUCACUAAUGGCUAUUUGGUAUUCUAGUGUCUGGGCCUCCUGCUCUUCUGACCUUGAGUAUCCUCUUCCAUAGCAAACAACUCUUUUUCUUUGGAAUAUAGUGCAGCGAAUAGGGUAGUGAGACAUUGUCAAAGAAUUUGGACUUUGUUCCCUUGCUUCUCUGAUCUUGAGCGAGGCAAGUAGUUCCUGCCAACUUCAUAUUGCCUCUGAGGACACAACUUUAAGACCUGCCAGGGAUUUUUCUUGACUUUGUAUCUGUGGCACCUGAUGCUGAAGUGGUCAUAAUCAAGUUCCAAAGUGGUCUGGAGCAUUUGCAAUACAGAACCUGCUUCUCUUGCUACUUGGACCAUAUUCAAAUCCACGGGAGGAGGCUGGGGAGCAACCAUAUCAUUUUCACAGCAGUUGCACCAUUUAUAUUCCUACCAGUAAUACACAAGGGUACCAAUUUCUCCAUAUCCUCACCAACACUUGUUAUUUUCUACUUUUUUAUUUAUAUCCAUCCUGAUAUAGUAUCUCACUAUGGUCUUCACUUGCAUUUCCCUAAUAAUUAGUGAUG